Molecule: long non-coding RNA, 361 nt
Filed under: Homo sapiens (human)
Lineage: Eukaryota; Metazoa; Chordata; Mammalia; Primates; Hominidae
Description: HSALNT0395900
Source: RNAcentral
CUCCGGAGCCACAGCUUCCCGACCUACGUGGAGCUUCCGUCUCUUUUCUGUAUAUAAAUCGCUUCCCCAACCCCAUGCCAAAGAGAACUCCAAAUAACAACACAAGCUUAGCUUUUGCUUUAGAAGUUUCUAGAAUUUAGUUGAUGCUAUUGGAGCUAUCAUGAACUGAUACAGUCCCCGUGGGGAGUGACUGUAUGAGCUCGAACUGGACUUGGACAUUUCUCCAGCCCUCUGUGGUUCCAGUUGAGAAAAAUCCAGUCCUUCCAUGAGACCUCGGUACACACAGAACUCCUCCUACCACGUGCAACCUUAUUCUCGGCUGAGCAACUCAUAAAUCGCAUAACAAAAACAGUGAUUGAUG